AACUUUUAGCAAUGGAUCACUUGGCUCUCCCAUCGAUGAAGAACGCAGCGAAAUGCGAAAAGUAAUGUGAAUUGCAGAAUUCAGUGAAUCAUCGAAUCUUUGAACGCACCUUGCGCCCUUUGGUAUUCCGAAGGGCAUGCCUGUUUGAGUGUCAUUAAAUUCUCAACCUUGCAAGCUUUUUCUAGCUUGCGUGGCUUGGAUGUGAGGGUUUUUGCUGGCUUCCUUCAGUUGGAUGUUCUGCUCUCUUUAAAUUCAUUAGUGGAAUACUUUGUGGACGGUCACUUGGUGUGAUAAUUAUCUACGCCGCCUGACUCUGACUCAAGCCUUGCGGGAACCUGCUUAUAACCGUCUCUUCGGAGACAAUCGUUGACAAUUUGGCCUCAAAUCAGGUAGGACUACCCGCUGAUCUUAAGCAUAUCAAUAAGCGGAGGCU
This 433-nucleotide unclassified non-coding RNA is filed under the name uncultured Mycena. RNAcentral describes it as "sequence contains ITS2". The stretch from base 1 to 154 matches the Rfam family "5.8S ribosomal RNA". Lineage: Eukaryota; Fungi; Basidiomycota; Agaricomycetes; Agaricales; Tricholomataceae. The record is from RNAcentral.